GUGCUCGCUUCAGCACAUAUACUAAAAUUGGAACGAUACAAAGAAGAUUAGCAUGGCCCCUGCUUAAGGAUGACAUGCAAGAAAAAAAAAGAAACUACAGUCUU
Small nuclear RNA from Mastomys coucha (southern multimammate mouse), 104 nucleotides. Lineage: Eukaryota; Metazoa; Chordata; Mammalia; Rodentia; Muridae. The record is from RefSeq and is a predicted model, not a curated record.